CCCUGUAUAAAAAGUGACAAUGGCAUGAUUGUUGCCAUAGUCAUUGAUAGUACAGGAACCAUGACUUUGAGAUUGUCCCAUGUUUGUUGGAAUACCAGUAUCUGUCAAACCCUAUAUCUUUAAAA
RNAcentral lists this small nucleolar RNA (125 nucleotides) under Hucho hucho (huchen). RNAcentral's name for it is "Small nucleolar RNA SNORA71 (ENSHHUG00000001587.1)". The record is from RNAcentral. Lineage: Eukaryota; Metazoa; Chordata; Actinopteri; Salmoniformes; Salmonidae.